AACGCGAAGAACCUUACCCAGACUUGACAUGCAGUAGACCGCAUCAGAAAUGGUGCUUUCCUUCGGGACUGCUGCACAGGUGCUGCAUGGCUGUCGUCAGCUCGUGCCGUGAGGUGUUGGGUUAAGUCCCGCAACGAGCGCAACCCUUAUCAUUAGUUGCCAGCACGUAAUGGUGGGAACUCUAAUGAGACUGCCUGGGUUAACCAGGAGGAAGGUGAGGAUGACGUCAAGUCCGCAUGGCCCUUAUGUCUGGGGCUACACACGUGCUACAAUGGCAGGUACAAAAGGCUGCGAAAUCGCAAGGUGAAGCAAAUCCCUAAAGCCUGUCCCAGUUCAGAUUGUAGUCUGCAACUCGACUACAUGAAGUUGGAAUUGCUAGUAAUGGCGUGUCAGCAACAGCGCCGUGAAUACGUUCCCGGGCCUUGUACACACCGGACACGC
This 441-nucleotide ribosomal RNA is filed under the name uncultured bacterium. Its description in RNAcentral is "bacterial SSU rRNA". It matches the Rfam family "Bacterial small subunit ribosomal RNA", at positions 958 to 1402 of the family's 1533-position model. The record is from RNAcentral.